RNAcentral lists this ribosomal RNA (1444 nucleotides) under Vibrio alginolyticus. RNAcentral describes it as "bacterial SSU rRNA". It matches the Rfam family "Bacterial small subunit ribosomal RNA". Lineage: Bacteria; Pseudomonadati; Pseudomonadota; Gammaproteobacteria; Vibrionales; Vibrionaceae. The record is from RNAcentral.
AACGAGUUAUCUGAACCUUCGGGGGACGAUAACGGCGUCGAGCGGCGGACGGGUGAGUAAUGCCUAGGAAAUUGCCCUGAUGUGGGGGAUAACCAUUGGAAACGAUGGCUAAUACCGCAUGAUGCCUACGGGCCAAAGAGGGGGACCUUCGGGCCUCUCGCGUCAGGAUAUGCCUAGGUGGGAUUAGCUAGUUGGUGAGGUAAGGGCUCACCAAGGCGACGAUCCCUAGCUGGUCUGAGAGGAUGAUCAGCCACACUGGAACUGAGACACGGUCCAGACUCCUACGGGAGGCAGCAGUGGGGAAUAUUGCACAAUGGGCGCAAGCCUGAUGCAGCCAUGCCGCGUGUGUGAAGAAGGCCUUCGGGUUGUAAAGCACUUUCAGUCGUGAGGAAGGUAGUGUAGUUAAUAGCUGCAUUAUUUGACGUUAGCGACAGAAGAAGCACCGGCUAACUCCGUGCCAGCAGCCGCGGUAAUACGGAGGGUGCGAGCGUUAAUCGGAAUUACUGGGCGUAAAGCGCAUGCAGGUGGUUUGUUAAGUCAGAUGUGAAAGCCCGGGGCUCAACCUCGGAAUAGCAUUUGAAACUGGCAGACUAGAGUACUGUAGAGGGGGGUAGAAUUUCAGGUGUAGCGGUGAAAUGCGUAGAGAUCUGAAGGAAUACCGGUGGCGAAGGCGGCCCCCUGGACAGAUACUGACACUCAGAUGCGAAAGCGUGGGGAGCAAACAGGAUUAGAUACCCUGGUAGUCCACGCCGUAAACGAUGUCUACUUGGAGGUUGUGGCCUUGAGCCGUGGCUUUCGGAGCUAACGCGUUAAGUAGACCGCCUGGGGAGUACGGUCGCAAGAUUAAAACUCAAAUGAAUUGACGGGGGCCCGCACAAGCGGUGGAGCAUGUGGUUUAAUUCGAUGCAACGCGAAGAACCUUACCUACUCUUGACAUCCAGAGAACUUUCCAGAGAUGGAUUGGUGCCUUCGGGAACUCUGAGACAGGUGCUGCAUGGCUGUCGUCAGCUCGUGUUGUGAAAUGUUGGGUUAAGUCCCGCAACGAGCGCAACCCUUAUCCUUGUUUGCCAGCGAGUAAUGUCGGGAACUCCAGGGAGACUGCCGGUGAUAAACCGGAGGAAGGUGGGGACGACGUCAAGUCAUCAUGGCCCUUACGAGUAGGGCUACACACGUGCUACAAUGGCGCAUACAGAGGGCGGCCAACUUGCGAAAGUGAGCGAAUCCCAAAAAGUGCGUCGUAGUCCGGAUUGGAGUCUGCAACUCGACUCCAUGAAGUCGGAAUCGCUAGUAAUCGUGGAUCAGAAUGCCACGGUGAAUACGUUCCCGGGCCUUGUACACACCGCCCGUCACACCAUGGGAGUGGGCUGCAAAAGAAGUAGGUAGUUUAACCUUCGGGGGGACGCUUACCACUUUGUGGUUCAUGACUGGGGUGAAGUCGUAACAA